RNAcentral lists this ribosomal RNA (406 nucleotides) under uncultured bacterium. RNAcentral describes it as "partial 16S ribosomal RNA". It matches the Rfam family "Bacterial small subunit ribosomal RNA", at positions 30 to 526 of the family's 1533-position model. The record is from RNAcentral.
AUUGAACGCUGGCGGCAGGCCUAACACAUGCAAGUCGAGCGAGCGGCGGACGGGUGAGUAAUGUCAGGGAAACUGCCUGAUGGAGGGGGAUAACUACUGGAAACGGUAGCUAAUACCGUAUACCAUCAGAUGUGCCCAGAUGGGAUUAGCUAGUGGGGGGGGUAAUGGCUCACCUGGGCGACGAUCCCUAGCUGGUCUGAGAGGAUGAUCAGUCACCCUGGAACUGAGACACGGUCCAGACUCCUACGGUAGGGAGCAGUGGGGAAUAUUGGACAAUGGGCGAAAGCCUGAUCCAGCCCUGCCGCGUGUGUUAAGAAGGUCUUCGGAUUGUAAAGCACUUUUAGUUGGGAGGCGUUACCAACAGAAUAAGCACCGGCUAACUUCGUGCCAGCAGCCGCGGUAAUAC